CCUACGGGGGGCUGCAGUGGGGAAUAUUGCACAAUGGGCGCAAGCCUGAUGCAGCCAUGCCGCGUGUGUGAAGAAGGCCUUCGGGUUGUAAAGCACUUUCAGCGGGGAGGAAGGCGGUGAGGUUAAUAACCUCAUCGAUUGACGUUACCCGCAGAAGAAGCACCGGCUAACUCCGUGCCAGCAGCCGCGGUAAUACGGAGGGUGCAAGCGUUAAUCGGAAUUACUGGGCGUAAAGCGCACGCAGGCGGUCUGUCAAGUCGGAUGUGAAAUCCCCGGGCUCAACCUGGGAACUGCAUUCGAAACUGGCAGGCUAGAGUCUUGUAGAGGGGGGUAGAAUUCCAGGUGUAGCGGUGAAAUGCGUAGAGAUCUGGAGGAAUACCGGUGGCGAAGGCGGCCCCCUGGACAAAGACUGACGCUCAGGUGCGAAAGCGUGGGGAGCACACAGGAUUAGAUACCCCAGUAGUC
RNAcentral lists this ribosomal RNA (465 nucleotides) under uncultured Klebsiella sp. RNAcentral's name for it is "bacterial SSU rRNA". It matches the Rfam family "Bacterial small subunit ribosomal RNA", at positions 338 to 795 of the family's 1533-position model. The record is from RNAcentral. Lineage: Bacteria; Pseudomonadati; Pseudomonadota; Gammaproteobacteria; Enterobacterales; Enterobacteriaceae.